UCAAGCAACCUUGACAUUUCAUUAUCAUGUCCCUGAUUCAGCUUCAUUUCCAGCACCUUUGGAGGCAGCUUGUUCAAGCUAAUUGUUACCUAAAUGAAAUUUUCCUCCAUACACACACAAGGCUAUCUGGCUGCAUGAGGGUAUUCAGGUUUCUGUGUCCUGGAUAAUAUGUGAUCAGCAGGCAUCUGGCAAACAGGAAUUGCCGCCUAUGUUAUGUUUAUUUAACUGUAGUGACAUUAAUCACAUAUUUUGUGAAUUUCUUUUGCAGGAAGACACGCGGAAAGAAAUCUGAAAGCAAAUGACACAAGAACUUCUGACAGAGACACUUGAUUCAUUGGGACUUGAAUAUCAGCAACUGUUCAAAUUGAGAUGAAAUGUUUGCUUUUGUUUGCUUGAGAGAUUUUGGAUACUGGUGUGGCAGGAAGAAUACUGAGACACACAAGUGAGGGAGAUUCAGUGCGCUGACUGUGAAAACUGCUUCAACCUAAUGACUCAGCUUGGGGGAUAAAAAUCUCACCAUUCACGGUGGGGAGAGACUGUGAACACAUUUUGUCUGUAAUUUCAAAUCCAGAGCAACACAAGGAAAGCUCUCCCUAUUGGGAAACCGUGGAAAUGGCAACAAAGAAAACCCCCAUCUGAUUCAUUCAUGUCCAUUUGAGGGAGGGAAACUGCCGUUGUGGGAAAGGAUUCACUCAGUCAUCCCAGCUGCAUCCUUUACCUGAUCUGACCUACACGUGACUCCAGACCCACAGCAAUGUGGUGGACUCUUGACUACGCUCCCUCAUGCCUGGAAAAUAGGUGGGGAGAAAUUUACUUGUAUACAGAGCAUAGGUUGAAAUUGCUGAGUGAGGCAAUACUUCCUCUGGGUUAAGGCUGUACCAAGGAUCCAAUUACAAAGGGACACGUCUGUGCUGACCAAUAGUAAAGAAAGUGGGGAUGGGGAGUGUAUGCACUUUGACCUUGAACUGUUUUUAAAUGAAAUAAAUUGGUUUUCAUAUGCCUUUUUGCUGGGGAGAUCUGAAGCAGUACUGAAGUUGUGUCACAAUAAAGGUGACCUGAACUUAC
This is a non-coding RNA of Chiloscyllium plagiosum (whitespotted bambooshark), 1065 nucleotides long. The record is from RefSeq and is a predicted model, not a curated record. Lineage: Eukaryota; Metazoa; Chordata; Chondrichthyes; Orectolobiformes; Hemiscylliidae.